UAAGGAAUAUUGCUCAAUGGGAGAAAUCCUGAAGCAGCAACGCCGCGUGGAGGAUGAAGGGUCUAUGACUUGUAAACUCCUGUAAAGAAGGAAAAAAUUCCCAUUUGAUGGGAGAUGAUGGUACUUCUGGAGUAAGCCCCGGCUAACUACGUGCCAGCAGCCGCGGUAAUACGUAGGGGGCAAGCGUUGUCCGGAUUUACUGGGUGUAAAGGGUGCUCAGGCGGAUUUGUAAGUCAGAGGUGAAAUCUUACAGCUUAACUGUGAAACUGCCUUUGAUACUGGAAGCCUAGAGUAUGGAAGAGAGUGAUGGAAUAUCUGGUGUAGCAGUGAAAUGCGUAGAUAUCAGAUAGAACACCAAUGGCGAAGGCAGUCACUUGGUCCAUUACUGACGCUAAAGCACGAAAGCGUGGGUAGCAAAC
RNAcentral lists this ribosomal RNA (419 nucleotides) under uncultured bacterium. RNAcentral describes it as "bacterial SSU rRNA". It matches the Rfam family "Bacterial small subunit ribosomal RNA", at positions 355 to 773 of the family's 1533-position model. The record is from RNAcentral.